UAAGGUAUUACUUCUACCCCUCA
This 23-nucleotide non-coding RNA is filed under the name Rattus norvegicus (Norway rat). Lineage: Eukaryota; Metazoa; Chordata; Mammalia; Rodentia; Muridae. The record is from RNAcentral.